Molecule: small nuclear RNA, 192 nt
Organism: Bombina bombina (fire-bellied toad)
Lineage: Eukaryota; Metazoa; Chordata; Amphibia; Anura; Bombinatoridae
Product: U2 spliceosomal RNA
Exons: 1
Source: RefSeq, a predicted model, not a curated record
AUCGCCUCUAGGCCUUUUGGCUAAGGAUCAAGUGUAGUAUCUGUUUUUAUCAAUUUAAUAUCUGAUACGUCCCCUAUUUGGGGAACAUAUAUUAAAUGGAUUUUUGGAACAGGGAGAUGAAAGUAGAGCUUGCUCUGUCCACUCAACUCAUUGACCUGGUAUUGCAGUUCCUCCAGGAUCGGUGCACCCCUC